AGAAAAGCAGGCUAGAAGCCAGAUCCCAGAAGAUCUCUGGGUGGAGAGAGCUUUUCCUUUUCUCCUUAGCAGAGGUUUGAGAAGAACUGAAACUGCAAGUGAUGUGGUGUAUGAAUCACUAAGUACUUAUAUGGAAAAAGAAAACCUGAGAGAGAGGGCGUGCGCCACUUGAUGUCCAAGACCAGCAUGGAUAAAACAAAUCAUGAAACCAAGGUUCUUUGGUGCAUGUUUGUCAUAUUCUGCAUGCAAAAAGGAGAAAGUGGGAGCAUUUUUUAUUUAUUAUCACAGGCAAUGGGAAUCCAGUCAGACUACUUUCAAGCAUAAUCCCAAACUUAGCUGAAGAUUUAGCCAAAAGGUUGUUUCUAGUCAAAGUUGUAGAGGAAAAGCUUGACUGUGAGUCAACUGAGCCAAGGAUCAAAAUGUAAAUCAUAAUCGUCACAUCUUUAUCACCAGAUUGUGUUUCCAGAUUUAAAGAGAACAGAGAGGUCUUUUUUCCUCUCAUGUAAUUCCAUUGUAAAAGUAUCUAAGAUAGUCCAUUUACUAGGUUAUCUUGAAACUUCAGAAACUUGAAAGCAUGUUAUAGGGGAAAUGUAGUACUGCAUAAACCCUCACACUUCAGCCAGCAAAAUAAAAGGGAGAUUUGAUACCCCAAUAGUAUUAACAUUGUAUUUACAGCUGCUGCUGCCCACAUAAAAAAAAUAUUUCCCAGGGGCUGAGAUCAAAGGCACUGCCACAGUGUGACAUGGUAUGGGACUACACUAUAACAAUUUUACAGUGUUAACAGAUUGUUUCCAAUGAAAGUGUAUGUGAUAGAACUGCAGGUGUUCAUAAACAGAUUGCAGGAUCAAAAGAUUUUAAAAUUCUGGGCUACAUUUUAAGUUAGCCCCUUCUGGUGUACAGUAGCUUAAUUGUGGGUCUACAAAAAGCACCUUUUUGCAACCUAUAACUAAAUGGACUAUCUUAA
Molecule: long non-coding RNA, 964 nt
Organism: Mauremys mutica (yellowpond turtle)
Lineage: Eukaryota; Metazoa; Chordata; Testudines; Geoemydidae
Exons: 3
Source: RefSeq, a predicted model, not a curated record